UCUGGCCCUGCCCUGGAGGAAGGUGGAGUCACAGAUGGAAGAGGCAACGUGGCCUGCAAUGCAAGCAGGAGGUAAAGUGUCACUGCAAUGACCCAGGGAAUUUGUUAUAGGAGCUGAAUCAGUCUGUGUAGCAAAACUGCCUACCACAAAGUGCUGUGUAAGGCAGUAUCUCACAUGGACAGCCUCCGUGGAGGGGUUGUCUCACUGGAGACAGUAACUGUCCUGUACAAUCCUCGGGGUGAAGGAGACACUCUAAGCCCUGUGGACUACACGGGCAGUGUGCCAUAGCCCUGCAGCUUCCUGUAGGCACGAGACCCUCCCACUCCCACAGGUGGCAGUGACCGGUACAGGACAUGGCUGAGUCAUGAGUCCCCACUGGGGAGAACACACCAACCUCCGAGACUGAGGCAGCCCCGGAGGAGGCACCACGUGCUGCAGGAGGUGACUGAGGACUGUGCAGCCACAGCCUGCAAGGCUGGAACAAAGACCUCAGAGACCCUGAGAGCUGAACCAUGGGAAAAGCCAACCUCUGCCCUUACCGCCAGAGAGGCCCAGCCCCUCACCCAGCAGCUGCACCCCGUCCCCUCUGCUGAGCCACCCUGGGAUGAACGUGUGCCAAAUGACGAAGUUAGUAGGAAGCAGCUUUGGGGAAGCCCCUGGGGGUCCAGCUGGACACUGUCCCCAGCCAGAGCAGCCACUGUGUACAGGGGACAAAGCAGCAUGAUGCCAGGAGGAAUGUCUCUGUUGGAAGGAAAGUGGAUUAAGCACAAUGCUCAGGCUGCUGAACGCGCCAACCCCAGACAUGG
RNAcentral lists this long non-coding RNA (806 nucleotides) under Chinchilla lanigera (long-tailed chinchilla). RNAcentral describes it as "lncRNA (ENSCLAG00000025115.1)". Lineage: Eukaryota; Metazoa; Chordata; Mammalia; Rodentia; Chinchillidae. The record is from RNAcentral.